UACCGCAUAAGCCUGUAAAGGGAAAGCAGCAAUGCGCAGAAAGAGGAGUCCGCGGCCGAUUAGCUAGUUGGUGAGGUAACGGCCCACCAAGGCGAUGAUCGGUAGCCGGCCUGAGAGGGCACACGGCCACACUGGCACUGAAACACGGGCCAGACUCCUACGGGAGGCAGCAGUGGGGAAUCUUGCACAAUGGGGGCAACCCUGAUGCAGCGACGCCGCGUGAACGAUGAAGCCCUUCGGGGUGUAAAGUUCUUUCGGCAGGGACGAUAAUGACGGUACCUGAAGAAGAAGCUGCGGCUAACUACGUGCCAGCAGCCGCGGUAAUACGUAGGCAGCGAGCGUUGUUCGGAAUUACUGGGCGUAAAGAGUGUGUAGGCGGUGCUCUAAGUUCGGUGUGAAAUCUCCUGGCUUAACUGGGAGGGUGCGCCGAAAACUGGAGUGCUCGAGUGUGGGAGAGGAAAGCGGAAUUCCUGGUGUAGCGGUGAAAUGCGUAGAUAUCAGGAGGAACACCUGCGGUGUAGACGCUUUCUGGACCAUUACUGACGCUGAGACACGAAAG
This 559-nucleotide ribosomal RNA is filed under the name uncultured Fibrobacteres/Acidobacteria group bacterium. RNAcentral describes it as "bacterial SSU rRNA". It matches the Rfam family "Bacterial small subunit ribosomal RNA", at positions 167 to 759 of the family's 1533-position model. The record is from RNAcentral. Lineage: Bacteria; Pseudomonadati.